UCUCUGUGAUGAACAAGAAUAUUGAUGACGAGUCCGAAAUCAUAAUCCAUUCCUUUUUCUUCUGACGACAAAUCGAGGCAUUUGUCUGAGAGAA
Diospyros lotus (date-plum) is the source of this 94-nucleotide small nucleolar RNA. The record is from RefSeq and is a predicted model, not a curated record. NCBI's taxonomy places the organism in Eukaryota, Viridiplantae, Streptophyta, Magnoliopsida, Ericales, Ebenaceae.